GGCAGAUUUAUUAAAUGUUGACAUUCUGUUAAUUUAUAUAUAUCCACAUUUGUAGAAAAAAAGACUCAAUUGUAGAUAGUUAUAGAUCCAACUUAAGUAGACUAUCUACUAUUUUAGCAUUUAAAUAUUUAUUAGAAAACGAUAUACUCACAAGAGAAACUAACGAGCAACAUUUAGUUUAUUCAUAAUUUUACCAUUUAGUUGGGUGUACAAGC
Non-coding RNA from Pelobates cultripes (western spadefoot toad), 215 nucleotides. NCBI's taxonomy places the organism in Eukaryota, Metazoa, Chordata, Amphibia, Anura, Pelobatidae. The record is from the annotation of a GenBank genome assembly.